AGCGAACGUUUGCGGCGGGCCUAACACAUGCAAGUCGAACGGGUUGGCAACAACCAGUGGCGCACGGGUGCGUAACACGUAGGUAAUCAACCCUGCUUGGGAUUGAACACUCCCGAAAGGAACGCUAAUACCGGAUCCGUCGUCGGGAGCUUCGGCUCUGGCGAGAAAGACCCGCAAGGGUUGCCGAGGGACGAGCCUGCGGCCCAUCAGCUAGUUGGUGAGGUAAAAGCUCACAAAGGCGAAGACGGGUAGCUGGUCUGAGAGGAUGAUCAGUCACACUGGAACUGAGACACGGUCCAGACUCCUACGGGAGGCAGCAGUGGGGAAUAUUGCGCAAUGGGCGAAAGCCUGACGCAGCCACGCCGCGUGAGCGAUGAAGGCCUCGGUCGUAAAGCUCUGUGGGGAGAGAAGAAGAAAGCCUGUGAAGAGCAGGCCUUGACGGUAUCUCCUUAGCAAGCA
This 459-nucleotide ribosomal RNA is filed under the name uncultured bacterium. RNAcentral describes it as "bacterial SSU rRNA". It matches the Rfam family "Bacterial small subunit ribosomal RNA", at positions 29 to 492 of the family's 1533-position model. The record is from RNAcentral.